Molecule: small nucleolar RNA, 127 nt
Organism: Peromyscus maniculatus bairdii (prairie deer mouse)
Lineage: Eukaryota; Metazoa; Chordata; Mammalia; Rodentia; Cricetidae
Product: small nucleolar RNA SNORA40
Source: RefSeq, a predicted model, not a curated record
UAUAUCUUAAAUUUUCCUGCAAAAAAUGAAGAAAGCGUCAGAUUAGACAGGUACAAAAAUAAAUUCUCUUUUGCAUCCCAGAACUCAUGGUUCUGUAUGAAUUCUGAUACAUACAAGAAGGAAUAUA